UUCUGAUUCUAAAUGAUCUGAGCAGGAUAUGCCCACAGUGUCAAGAAAGGCAGCAGGAUGUCUUUAAAAUUGAUCACAUUUGAGUAAGUAUUAAACAUUCAGUUGAUGUUAUUCUUGUAUUAACAUUUUGAAUAACUGAUACAACUUUUCCCAGGAACUUUGCUUAAUGAUGAGGUUGAGGGCCCAUAAUCUGAAAUUCAGCAUUGUGCAGACACUUCUCCUAGUGAUCAGUUGGAUCACGAAGAUGUGAACCAUCAGGAAUCUCAUAGUCGAAGCUGCAGUGACGGUGAAGAGGCCCCCAAUGCUACAUAUCUCACAGCAUCCCACCAACUGGACAUAUCCUGGUGUCCAGCAGAUGGACCAACACAGCCUUUCCUGAGGGUGUAUCCACGAACUGUGCAGGGGGGAUAGAAAGAGAGCCUUCAACAAUUCAUGGUUCACGCACUUCACAUGGUUGAAGUAAAUCGUGGCUCUGCUGAUUUCACAUCUUUUCUUGAACCAUACAAAGAGGUUUUUCAUCAGCUUUUUCACUUAUGUCGGAUAAGUAUAACUUUGCCUGUUAGCAGUACCAGUUGCGAUAAAAAUCAUUUGAGAACAACAAUGAAUGAUGACAGGCUUAACAAUAUUGGAUUGCUUAGUAUUGAAAGGAGAAGGGCAAGGUCAUUGAACUUGGAUGCUUUGUCCAUCAACACCAAAACAGGCGUAUUCAACUGUCAUAAUCUUAAUGCUUUGGUGUAUAGUGGGGCUGAUUUGUUUAACUGUAUAUUCUACAUGGUUUCCUAACAUGUUGUUAGAGUUGUAAUAAAGUUGUUCAUAACUAAACUAAAUUGAUUGUUUCUGUCUCUGUAAGGUAACAAAGAGGUAGGCUUAGAUGCCUAUGAAACACAAGCGUUUAUCUUGCUGAAACUAAUAUUACUACUACUACUACUAC
Molecule: long non-coding RNA, 931 nt
Organism: Scatophagus argus
Lineage: Eukaryota; Metazoa; Chordata; Actinopteri; Scatophagidae
Exons: 3
Source: RefSeq, a predicted model, not a curated record